RNAcentral lists this transfer RNA (76 nucleotides) under Mycoplasmataceae bacterium. RNAcentral's name for it is "tRNA-Ala". It matches the Rfam family "tRNA". Rfam says of the family: Transfer RNA (tRNA) molecules are approximately 80 nucleotides in length. Their secondary structure includes four short double-helical elements and three loops (D, anti-codon, and T loops). Further hydrogen bonds mediate the characteristic L-shaped molecular structure. tRNAs have two regions of fundamental functional importance: the anti-codon, which is responsible for specific mRNA codon recognition, and the 3' end, to which the tRNAs corresponding amino acid is attached (by aminoacyl-tRNA synthetases). tRNAs cope with the degeneracy of the genetic code in two manners: having more than one tRNA (with a specific anti-codon) for a particular amino acid; and 'wobble' base-pairing, i.e. permitting non-standard base-pairing at the 3rd anti-codon position. The record is from RNAcentral. Lineage: Bacteria; Bacillati; Mycoplasmatota; Mollicutes; Mycoplasmatales; Mycoplasmataceae.
GGGGGAUUAGCUCAGUUGAUAGAGCACCUGAUUUGCAUUCAGGGGGUCAGGGGUUUGAGUCCCCUAUUCUCCACCA